AACGAACGCUGGCGGCAUGCCUAACACAUGCAAGUCGAACGGGAUCCAGGCUUCGGCCUGGUGAGAGUGGCGGACGGGUGAGUAACACGUGGGAACCUGCCUUUUGGUUCGGGAUAACCGCGGGAAACUGCGGCUAAUACCGGAUGCUCCCGAGAGGGGAAAGAUUUAUCGCCAGAAGAGGGGCCCGCGUCCGAUUAGGUAGUUGGUGAGGUAAUGGCUCACCAAGCCGACGAUCGGUAGCUGGUCUGAGAGGAUGAUCAGCCACACUGGGACUGAGAUACGGCCCAGACUCCUACGGGAGGCAGCAGUGGGAAUAUUGGACAAUGGGGCAACCCUGAUCCAGCAAUGCCGCGUGAGUGAUGAAGGCCUUAGGGUUGUAAAGCUCUUUUGCCAGGGAAGAUGAUGACUGUACCUGGAGAAUAAGCCCCGGCUAACUUCGUGCCAGCAGCCGCGGUAAU
Molecule: ribosomal RNA, 458 nt
Filed under: uncultured bacterium
Lineage: Bacteria
Description: bacterial SSU rRNA
Rfam family: Bacterial small subunit ribosomal RNA
Source: RNAcentral